GCGGUGAAUACGUUCCCGGGCCUUGUACACACCGCCCGUCACACUAUGGGAAUUGGAUGCGCCCGAAGUUUGUGGCCUAACCGCAAGGAGGGAGCAACCUAAGGCGAAGUCAGUGACUGGAGUGAAGUCGUAACAAGGUAGCCGUAUCGGAAGGUGCGGCUGGAUCACCUCCUUU
RNAcentral lists this ribosomal RNA (175 nucleotides) under Clostridiales bacterium. RNAcentral describes it as "partial 16S ribosomal RNA". It matches the Rfam family "Bacterial small subunit ribosomal RNA", at positions 1359 to 1533 of the family's 1533-position model. Lineage: Bacteria; Bacillati; Bacillota; Clostridia; Eubacteriales. The record is from RNAcentral.